This 301-nucleotide ribosomal RNA is filed under the name uncultured bacterium. RNAcentral's name for it is "partial 16S ribosomal RNA". It matches the Rfam family "Bacterial small subunit ribosomal RNA", at positions 509 to 807 of the family's 1533-position model. The record is from RNAcentral.
CAGCAGCCACGGGAAUACGAAGGGGGCUAGCGUUGUUCGGAUUUACUGGGCGUAAAGGGUGCGUAGGCGGAUUGUUAAGUCAGGGGUGAAAUCCCGAGGCUCAACCUCGGAACUGCCUUUGAUACUGGCGAUCUUGAGUCCGGGAGAGGUGAGUGGAACUGCGAGUGCAGAGGUGAAAUUCGUAGAUAUUCGCAAGAACACCGGUGGCGAAGGCGGCUCACUGGCCCGGUACUGACGCUGAGGCACGAAAGCGUGGGGAGCAAACAGGAUUAGAUACCCGGGUAGUCCCUGUCUCUUAUAC